Molecule: transfer RNA, 74 nt
Filed under: Pangasianodon hypophthalmus (striped catfish)
Lineage: Eukaryota; Metazoa; Chordata; Actinopteri; Siluriformes; Pangasiidae
Rfam family: tRNA
About the family: Transfer RNA (tRNA) molecules are approximately 80 nucleotides in length. Their secondary structure includes four short double-helical elements and three loops (D, anti-codon, and T loops).
Source: Rfam by way of RNAcentral
ACCCGGCUAGCUCAGUUGGUAGAGCAUGGCACUCUUGAUCUCAGGAUUUGUGGGUUUGAGUCCCAUGCUGGGUG